This 794-nucleotide ribosomal RNA is filed under the name uncultured Burkholderiales bacterium. RNAcentral's name for it is "SSU rRNA". It matches the Rfam family "Bacterial small subunit ribosomal RNA", at positions 77 to 868 of the family's 1533-position model. Lineage: Bacteria; Pseudomonadati; Pseudomonadota; Betaproteobacteria; Burkholderiales. The record is from RNAcentral.
ACUUCGGUCUGGUGGCGAGUGGCGAACAGGUGAGUAAUAUAUCGGAACAUACCCAGUAGUGGGGGAUAACUAUCCGAAAGGAUAGCUAAUACCGCAUACGAUCUGUGGAUGAAAGCAGGGGAUCUUCGGACCUUGUGCUAUUGGAAUGGCCGAUAUCUGAUUAGCUAGUUGGUAGGGUAAAAGCCUACCAAGGCGACGAUCAGUAGCUGGUCUGAGAGGACGACCAGCCACACUGGAACUGAGACACGGCCCAGACUCCUACGGGAGGCAGCAGUGGGGAAUUUUGGACAAUGGGGGCAACCCUGAUCCAGCAAUGCCGCGUGAGUGAAGAAGGCCCUCGGGUUGUAAAGCUCUUUUGUCAGGGAAGAAACGGAGUUCUCUAAUAUAGGAUUCUAAUGACGGUACCUGAAGAAUAAGCACCGGCUAACUACGUGCCAGCAGCCGCGGUAAUACGUAGGGUGCAAGCGUUAAUCGGAAUUACUGGGCGUAAAGCGUGCGCAGGCGGUUUUGUAAGUCUGAUGUGAAAUCCCCGGGCUCAACCUGGGAACUGCAUUGGAGACUGCAAGGCUAGAGUGUGUCAGAGGGGGGUAGAAUUCCACGUGUAGCAGUGAAAUGCGUAGAGAUGUGGAGGAAUACCGAUGGCGAAGGCAGCCCCCUGGGAUAACACUGACGCUCAUGCACGAAAGCGUGGGGAGCAAACAGGAUUAGAUACCCUGGUAGUCCACGCCCUAAACGAUGUCUACUAGUUGUCGGGACUUAAUUGUCUUGGUAACGCAGCUAACGCGUGAAGUAGA